AUAUUACACAAUUCGUGUUCUUGAAAUUACUAUGCCCAUAGUAAUGUUGAAACAUCGUCAUUCGUGUUGUCGAAAAUACUAUGCUCAAUAUAAAUUCAUAGUAAUUUUACCAAUGUGCAUCGUUUGAGUGUUUGUUUUUUUUCUGGUCAGUCAGUCGCGAUUUCGGAACGCGGACCAAAAUGUUGGGCGGGUACUUCGCUGAGGUGAAUGCGGCUGUUUCGGCUAACCAGGUGACCAGCCCACUGGGAGUGAAAAAUAGAAUCAGCACUUUUGUCGGGUCGGAAAACGCAGUCUCUCAGCUGUUGCAUCCCGAAAUCCCCCGGUCGUGAGAACCUGCUCCCUCCUGACCAGCCACUGAAAAUUGACGGGGGAAUUGAAGUUUCCAGAAGAUUAUCCUUGCGCCUUUCUGAAUCGUUGGGCUCAAGAUGACUAUGCCAACACAUCCAAAUCGAUUCCAGCGGCAUACAAUAAAUUAUCAAAGUAGAAGCAGACUAUAUUGUAUCGUGCUUCAAUUAUAAAGUGAAGUGUUGUGAAAAAUAAAAAUGUAAAUCGUUUCAAAAUAAAUUAUUUCUG
Uranotaenia lowii is the source of this 573-nucleotide long non-coding RNA. RefSeq lists it as uncharacterized. The transcript is spliced from 3 exons. The record is from RefSeq and is a predicted model, not a curated record. Lineage: Eukaryota; Metazoa; Arthropoda; Insecta; Diptera; Culicidae.